Molecule: ribosomal RNA, 401 nt
Filed under: uncultured prokaryote
Description: bacterial SSU rRNA
Rfam family: Bacterial small subunit ribosomal RNA
Source: RNAcentral
UGGGGAAUUUUGCGCAAUGGGGGAAACCCUGACGCAGCAACGCCGCGUGCGGGAUGACGGCCUUCGGGUUGUAAACCGCUUUCAGCAGGGAAGAUUAUGACGGUACCUGCAGAAGAAGCCCCGGCUAACUACGUGCCAGCAGCCGCGGUAAUACGUAGGGGGCAAGCGUUAUCCGGAUUCAUUGGGCGUAAAGAGCGCGUAGGCGGAUGUUUAAGCAGAAUCUCUAAUCUGAGGGCUCAACCCCCAGCCGGAUUCUGAACUGGAUGUCUCGAGUUUGGUUGAGGAAGAUGGAGUUCCCGGUGUAGCGGUGGAAUGCGCAGAUAUCGGGAAGAACACCGAUGGCGAAGGCAGUCUUCUGGGCCAUAACUGACGCUGAGGCGCGAAAGCUAGGGGAGCAAACA